UCCAGCAGCCAUAUCACCAUGCAGCUCUCUCAGCUCUGCAGCUGGCUACCCACUAAAGCUAAGCAGGGUUGAGCCUAGUUAGUACCUGGAUGGAAGAGACCUCUUGGGAAGCUAUGGUCCUUGCUGGAA
RNAcentral lists this ribosomal RNA (129 nucleotides) under Lepisosteus oculatus (spotted gar). The record is from RNAcentral. Lineage: Eukaryota; Metazoa; Chordata; Actinopteri; Semionotiformes; Lepisosteidae.